UAAAAGUGUAUAAUGUGAGGAUGAGGCGGAGCAGCUUACGUGUGCGAUGGGUGAGGAUGAGGCGGAGCAGCACAUUAAAGGGGAUCCACAAGCCGUGAGAACUAACCAUAAUUGUUGAAUUGUAUUUCUUCUAUGAUGGUUGUAAUGAAUUGAGUAGAAUGGUAUGAAUUUAUACCUAAACUAUGAAUCAUGGUAAGUUAUGUGAUUGGGUGGAAAUUGUAUGAAGUGUAUGUGAUAUAGAUUAUGUUGAUUAUUUAUUUACUGAGCUGGAGGCUCAC
Molecule: long non-coding RNA, 278 nt
Filed under: Ricinus communis (castor bean)
Lineage: Eukaryota; Viridiplantae; Streptophyta; Magnoliopsida; Malpighiales; Euphorbiaceae
Description: long non-coding RNA (RCOM_LNC000897)
Source: RNAcentral